UACGGAGGGGGCUAGCGUUGUUCGGAAUUACUGGGCGUAAAGGGCGCGUAGGCGGAUUGUACAGUCAGAUGUGAAAUUCCUGGGCUCAACCUGGGGGCUGCAUUUGAUACGUAUAGUCUAGAGUUCGGAAGAGGGUCGUGGAAUUCCCAGUGUAGAGGUGAAAUUCGUAGAUAUUAGGAAGAACACCAGUGGCGAAGGCGGCUCACUGGCUCGGUACUGACGCUGAGGCGCGAAAGCGUGGGGAGCAAACAGG
This 253-nucleotide ribosomal RNA is filed under the name uncultured bacterium. RNAcentral's name for it is "partial 16S ribosomal RNA". It matches the Rfam family "Bacterial small subunit ribosomal RNA", at positions 524 to 776 of the family's 1533-position model. The record is from RNAcentral.